RNAcentral lists this ribosomal RNA (521 nucleotides) under uncultured bacterium. RNAcentral's name for it is "bacterial SSU rRNA". It matches the Rfam family "Archaeal small subunit ribosomal RNA", at positions 345 to 866 of the family's 1478-position model. The record is from RNAcentral.
AACCUCCGCAAUGUGAGAAAUCGCGACGGGGGGAUCCCAAGUGCCAUUCUUAACGGGAUGGCUUUUCAUUAGUGUAAAGAGCUUUUGGAAUAAGAGCUGGGCAAGACCGGUGCCAGCCGCCGCGGUAACACCGGCAGCUCUAGUGGUAACAAUUUUUAUUGGGCCUAAAGCGUCCGUAGCCGGUUUAAUAAGUCUCUGGUGAAAUCCUGCAGCUUAACUGUGGGAAUUGCUGGAGAUACUAUUAGACUUGAGAUCGGGAGAGGUUAGAGGUACUCCCAGGGUAGAGGUGAAAUUCUGUAAUCCUGGGAGGACCGCCUGUUGCGAAGGCGUCUAACUGGAACGAUUCUGACGGUGAGGGACGAAAGUUAGGGGCGCGAACCGGAUUAGAUACCCGGGUAGUCCUAACUGUAAACGAUGCGGACUUGGUGUUGGGGUGGCUUUGAGCUGCUCCAGUGCCGAAGGGAAGCUGUUAAGUCCGCCGCCUGGGAAGUACGGUCGCAAGACUGAAACUUAAAGGAAUU